UAUUCUGCCCCAUGGGGAAGGAUGAGAAGCUUCGACUAAGGUUCGACUCGAGCGAAGCGAGAGAACGUUGCCGCAGGCAACGGCCCGAAGGGCGAGGCGCUUUAGCGCCGAGUCCACCACCAUCUCUUCA
This 130-nucleotide small RNA is filed under the name Klebsiella pneumoniae. Its description in RNAcentral is "RtT sRNA". It matches the Rfam family "RtT RNA". From Rfam's summary of the family: This family represents a bacterial cis-regulatory element known as RtT RNA. The exact function of RtT is unknown although it is thought that it may be involved in changing the cellular response in relation to amino acid starvation. Lineage: Bacteria; Pseudomonadati; Pseudomonadota; Gammaproteobacteria; Enterobacterales; Enterobacteriaceae. The record is from RNAcentral.